AGUCACCAUGUGUGACUAAACUCUGCUCUUGGGCUGUCAGUGACAGGAAACAGCUUGGUAAAUGUCCCAUGAGACCCUUCUGAGAAUUCACCCAUCUAGAGGGAACUCCAGCUGAACCUGCUCUCCUACUCUUACCUGUCAAAGCCCAUCCUGCAUGAUCCAGAAGAACUGACUGGAUUUAGGGGGCAACAGGCCCCCAAACACUGUGGACCCAUAGGAAGAAACCUGAAGACUCUGUAAAGUGGCUAGUGAUGCUAGUUUCACAGCCCACUGAAGGAGAUACAUAGUUGGACACAGGUUUCCCGGGCCCAUAGGGAAAGUCAUGCCAGGCCUAGAGUUCACCCAAGUAUUUGCAGAGGAAGACAACACUGCCAGAAGUUUCUCAAACCUUUUGCUACUUAGCAUGCUUUCUCAGCUAGUGACACUGGCAGAGAUAUGAUUUUCAGAAUUAGGGGCUGGAGCAGUGGAGUCCUUCAGACAUGAAGUGAACUGACUCCCACUUUUGUCUUCAGUGGUGAAAUAAACAGGUUGCUUUGUAGUUUAGGGAACCCAGCAAGUACAGUCUGCAGACUGUAGUCACCCCUGAGGACGAACAGAUUAGUCCUUCCUCCAUUGGCCCUUGCUUCAGCCCACCAGUCUCACAUUUUUCUUAAACUGUUUCCAAUAUAAAGCUGUGAGAUUAGGUACCCUUCAUAUGGUCAUGCAUAUUGUCAGCACUAGGCCUUGUCCUGUAAAUUGUGUCACAUAACAUCAAUCCCCUGCAAAGGUACAGGGACUUGAGUGAAGGAUAGGGACACAUCUUGCAGGAAUAUAUAUGGAACAGGCUUGUCUUCAUCUUCCCAGGGAAAUCAAGGGAAGUGAGUACCAAGAACCAUUGUCAAGCAAUUAUUAUUUUCUCUUCUCUUAUGUCUCUGCCCAAGCUCUUGCUUUCAGCCAGGAUAUGAGAUUUUUACUCUGAAAACAUCUUCUAAUACCUAAAAUGAUACUCUGCUUGAAAACGAAGCAUUUUGUCUAUGGACAUUGCAUUGUUUAUUUUAAGCUUUUAAGUAUGUACCAUGUUCUACUCAGUUGAACAUUAGACGCUUUCAUGUUUGAUGGUGUUUGGACAGCUGAUAUUAAAAUUUGUAAUCCUCUGCAAAUUUUUAUCAAGAUGUCACUGGGAUAACAGAUGUAAUUGCUGAGCUGGGCACUGCAGCACCAAAUAUAAGCUGUACAGAGCUCAGAAAUGGUCUCCAGAGCGUUUCACUUGUCUUAUGAGUAUUGUAGAUCUAGCUGUGGUGCAGUACAACAUGUAUGAUCUUGAAGUCUUAAGGCUGGAGAUGUCUAUGUAACACAGAAUCAUAGAACGGCUUGGGUUGGACGGGAUUUUUAAAAGUCAUCUAGCCCAAUGUCCCUGCCUUGGGCAGUGACAUAUUUCCCUAGUUCAGGUUGCUCAAAGCCCCAUCUAACCUGACUUUGAACACUUCAAAUGAUGGGGCAUCCACAACUUCCCUGGGCAGCCUGUUCCAGUGCCUUACCACUCUCACUGUAAAAAUUGUCUUCCUCAUGUCCAGUCUAAAUGUACCCACUUUCAGUUUCAAACUGUUGUCCCUCUGUUCAGUCACUUCAGGCAUUGGUAAAAAGUCUCUCCCCAUCUUUCUUAUAUGCCAACUUUAAGUAUUGAAAGUCUGCAAUAAAGUGUCUCCAGAGUCUUCUCUUCUCCAGGCUGAAUAACCCCAACUUCCUCAGACUUAUUUUGUAGCAGAGGUGUUCGGAUUAUUUUUCUGGAUCUGCUCCAACAGGUCCAAGUCUUUCUUGCACUGUGGACCCCAAUGCUGGAUGCAGUACUCCAGGUGAGUAGAGAGCAGGGAGGCAGAAUCAAGUCCCUUGACCUACUGGCUACACUUCUUUUUCUGCAGUCCAGGAUAGGGUUGGCUUUCUGUCCUGCAAGUGCACAUUGCUGGCUCAUGUCCAAUUUUUCAUCUACCAGUACCCUCAAGUCCUUCUCUAGAGGGCAGCUCUCUAUCAAUUUUAUUGCUCUGAUCCAGGUCUAGGACCUUGCACUUGGCCCUGUUGAACUAUGAGGUUCACAUAAGCUCAUUCAUCAAGCCUGUGAAGGUCCACCUGGUUGGCAUUUCUUCCCUCAAACAAAUCAACUGCACUACUUCGCUUGGUGUCAUCUGCAUCUUGUUGAGGGUACACUCAAUUCCACUAUGUCAUUCAUGAAGAUAUUAAAUAAUAUUGGUCCCAGUAAGGACCUGUGGGAACAGCAGUUCCAGCUAAAGGGCCUUGGACAGAUUAUACAGAAAUAUGUUUUUUAUGAGUGUAAAAAGUGAUAUCCCAGGCCAGUGAGAAUGAUAUCUGAAGUCAGAAAACCGCCCUCAUAUGUAUGGUGUGUGAAUGUCCUUGGGCCUGGUCUGUGAAUGAGUGGGAACGUACCUGAAACAAACAUAACAUAAGUGUGGUGUGUUUUUAAUAACAAUUAUUGAAAAAACAUCUUAUGCAACAUCUUAGUCCAGGCCUGUAUCUGUAAAUCCUAUAAAUUGCCAAUGGCUAAUAAAGGCCUCAGCCUAGCUUAGCUCUCUGCUUUGCUUGGCUCGGCACUCCUUCCUAAACAAGAUCUCUGUCUGUGCGUGCAUCUCUGUCUGCGUCACGGUGCGCGUCGUUUCUAGUCACCACAGGGACCCUUGAAGGAUACCACUUGUUACUGGUUUCCACUUGAACACUGAGCAACUGACUGACUGCAACUCUUUGGACGUAGCCAUCCAGCCAAUUCCUUAUCCAUCUAACAGUCCAUCCAUCAAACCCUUAUCUCUCUAAAUUAGUGUCAAGAAUGUUGUGGGGGACUGUGUCAAAGGCCUUACAAAAGUCCAGGUAGAUGACACCCAUAGCUCUUCCUUUGUCCACUGAUUAUAGAAAGCCACCAGGUUAGUCAGGAAUUACUUACCCUUGGUGAAGCCAUGAUGGCUGUCUCCAAUCACAUCUCUGUCUUCCAUAUGUUUCCAUGUAUCUUCCAGGAGAAUCUGUUCCAGGCACGGAGGUGAGUCUGGCAGGUUGGUAGUUCCCAGGAUCCUCCUUUUUACCCUUUUUUUUUAAAAAAGAGGUGUGAUGUUUCCUUUUUUCCAGCCACUAGAGGCUACUAUGUUUAUAAACAAGUAAUCAAAUGAAACCUAAUGUAAUACCAAGAGAUAUAAAUCCAGUCACUAGCUUAAAUGAGUGUACUUUAAAUCAGUCUAUAGAAUUCUUCAGUUAUUUUCACAGUUCUUUAGAUCUGGGCUAAAACUCCUAAAUGCUGGAGCACCAUUUUCCAUAAAAUAGUCAAGGGAAAAUGAAAGCUACAAUAAAUCUAUCAAAAAAAAAAGCUGAUAAUUUUCAACAGACUUAAAACUUUGCUGGUGGGACAACUGAAGAGAUUAUAAAAACUAAUAGGGUGCUACUGAGAGUGGACAAUCUAAGCUGUUCCAGGUAAGGACUCAUUUCCCCAGCAGGGUUUUGGGGUGGUAUUUACUGCUCAAGUGCAUCACCUGCUGUGUUCUGUGACUAGUGCAAUAACAGAUCCUGCUGGACUCUACUAUAAACACUUCCAAUCAAUCAACACUGGCAUCUUCCUGUAGCUUUGCUAUUAAAAAGUAGAGGGAGUUUUUAAAGCAAAGGCCAUUCAUGUAAUUAAAAUGAUACUAAUAAUUUGCAAAUUAACAGUUUAAGGCAAGUUACUAAAAACCUUAUUUUCUUUCAAAAGUUUGGGAUAAUAGGAUGCUACUAAUUGAUUUUUUAAUGCUUCCCAGGUUAGUUUGCAGAAGCUGGCCUUGUUUACUGGUGUGUAUUAUCAAUACAUUGGCAAUGCAAGCAAGGUAGGAAAACACAUGUAUUAAAUGGUUCUUGUUGCUUUGCAUCAGUGAAUUCAUCUGCAUGUAGGAAAAAAUAUUCUAAACAUCAGCAUCAGCGGUGUGUACUAGGGACCAGGAAUAACUAAAAGUAAUAAGUAACUUGUUCAAAAUGUUAUGUCAACAACACCCUCUCAAGUUCACAAACAGUGAUGUGACAGACUGUUUCUGGCCCAAAAUACUCAUGGAAGAUGGGGUGUGAAAGAUCUAGAUAAAACUGAGAAUACUAUUUUGUUAUUGUUGCUGUUUAUUUGUUUUUGGCUUUUUUUUUUUUUUUUAACUGUAAGAAUUUGUGCUGAAAGGCCUGUAGCCCUCAUUCUCUUGGUAGAAAAAAAGCAUUUCUAUGUGAGAAGUCUGACCAAUCAUGAAAAACACAGUGCUGCUGAAAUGUAUCUGCAUAAUUAUAUAUGAAAUUUGCAUAUAUUGCAUCUCCAAAAUGUGAACAAUGAAGGAUGUCACAGCCAGCUUGUGCUUUUGAAUAUGCUACAAGAACUAACGAAUUAUUGUGUGUGAAUUAUCUGCUUGGUUACAAAUUCCAAUCUCAAUCACGUUUCUUUUUUUUACAUUUUGCCUUAAGUACAGAUGAUGACAUAGAUAAGUUUUUCUUGCUCUUCUGGCCACUCUUAGCUGACAGUUCGAACCAUCACUAAAUGGUGUAGCAAAAGACGGCAGCAGCAGCUGAGGAUGUUUGAGGAUGAAUCAUCUGAAUGUUUCAACUAACUCCGAAUUGACUCCAUGCUGAAGUUUCUCAUGCUGAUAGGUUUGACAUUUUUCUAUAAAAUUCUCUUUAGGCUCUGGCUCAUAGUAGGAAGGAGAUGGCAUAAUCAGUGAACUCCACUUAAAGGAGGGAACAUCCCAAACUAUUUUUUUUCUUAUUAAGGGAAAAAGAAAAAUUAAGCAAGCAACAAGAACUACAUGAAUAUCUUAUGGUAAUCAGAAAAUGACCCAGCCAAAAGUCAGCUAAGAUACAUAAUAGUCACUGUCAGUUAGCAACAAAUACAAAAAUGCAGAAAGAGUGGUAGGCAAUGGUGACAUCCAAAAGGUUGUUGAUUAAAAACCACAAUGCAAAAAGGGGAAAGCAAGACUAUGCUGAAGUAAAAAAAUAAAUUAAUAUUUAUUGCCUUAAAAGAAUUGCAACUCUGGAAGGUUAAUGUUGUUGCAUUGUCCUAGCACUGAACUUGAACCUGCAAGAAUACAGGAUGUGUCCACAACAUGUCAACAUGAGCUAGAUUACGUAACCCUUCUGCUAGCAAAAUUUCAAAAUUAGGUUCUAAUUUCAAAAAGCUAUUUUUAUUUUUCUUUCCCUCCAGUUAUACUUUUAAACUACCUUACCUUGUAUAUGCCUGGUCUGUAUAUCCAGCUAUUACCCUUUUUGUGUGAUAAAGGACUGAGAAAAUUCUGAAGGAAUGAUUCUGUUUGAAUUGAGUUACAAAGCAUGUGCAUCUCUGAGAGAUGGGUGGAAAACUGAGAUUACAAAAUGAAGACAGGUGCAAGUUUACCACUGAAGAAUUAACAACUCCAGUAACAGCUAAGAGUGUGUCCAUAUUCAACCUUAAUUCAAAGGCAAACUUUAAGCAAAAAAUUGUUUUCUACUUUUAAGGUUGAAACUAGUGUGCAAGUACUAUGUACAAACCUGACCUUUCACAAAGCAAAGAACCAGCUUACUUCAGGUUUUGGGGAAUGCAUGCGGGCUAAAGAGCACUUGUUUACCAAAUCCUCAGGUAUGCCCAAAACCUCAUGUGUAGUUGAAAGAGAAUAACCAUUUACAUUUUCUUGUUUUGCUAUCUGUUUAAUGUGUGGCUUCUCCACUGAUCACUGAAACAAUUAGUAAUGUUUCCAUUAACUUCAAUUAGCUUUGGGAGUGUAUUGUGCAUAUCAAUUAGCUCUGGUAGCAUAUUGUGUAAAACUGUAGGUUUUCCUUUCGGUUUACCAAAUGGUGAUAUAUAUAUAUCAUCCCACUGGGGCUAUAUAACUAGACUUUUCCAAUAAUAAAAUAAUAGCAAUACUUAUAAUUAAGACACUCACACCUAGUGAUUUCUAGUGCUUAAAAGACAAGUCUAGAUCAGCCAUCCCAGAAAACAGCACAAACCAGUAACAUAGAAUUGACCUCUAGCAAAUCUUAACAGAAAAAACAGGAUUUCUUCAUUAAAUAUCUAUUUCUUGCUGUUAUUUCAGUUCCGUUUUGUAAAUUAAUCUGCUCAGCAAAACCCCUAGAAUUUGAAGGUACAAUUUACACAGGAGAAAACCCAGAUUCUCCCCUUGCACUGUCCACGGUGUCACUCAAAAAUUAGUCAUCUGGCUUACUUUGUAGAUCUGGCAACACAAGAUUUCCCCCCACUUUAAUCUGCUUUUUAUCCUUAUUUUCACACUAUUCACUUCUUAUUUAGCCGAUGUUCCGUAGGCGAAACUUUUAUGCUAACCCAACACCUAAAGUUGAAUUGGUAGCUAAUGCGUAUCAGAAGGGUCUCUUUCACUAUAUGUAUCGUAGAGUUGUUAAUUAAAUAUUGAUUCUCCUGACACUUUCCUGCAUUUUAUCCUCCACAAUUUCAGGGUUGUUAUUUAUUCAUUUGUGUUGACAAUCUUCUCCUUUUUUUUCAUUGAUCUUUGAUAAAUGCUAUCACAGAACGAGAAGCGUAAAUGGGGUAAGGAGAGGAUAAGGGGAACAUUUACCACAGUGAGCAACUCAGCUAGAGAAGACUUUAAACAAUUUGGGUCAUCUUUACCAACCUCUACCUGUACAUCCUCUAUCUAUAAAACUCUGUAUCUGCAAAUGCAAGUUGGUAAAUACAUUCUUAUGCUCCUUUAAGUAAUUAUAUUAAGUACAUAUUGAGACACUCUUCACAGCUUAGCAGACUUGAUAGUUGCCUUUGAAAAUUUGUCCCUGUGUAUUUAUUUAUCUUCAAAGGAAAACAUAAAGAUUUGAAUGAGAGUAUCUAGAACAUGUCCAUCACCCAGUAAACAUACUCAGCAAUUUACUCAAAACAAUAAUUUCAGCUAUUUUUAUUUUGUCAACAUAUAUGCAUUGUGUGAGAUGUACAUCCAUGCAGUGAAGUUGCCUUACUGACAAAAGGCUUUCUGCUUUUAGCUACAUUUUGCAGACCUUUCAGAGGUAGUGAGUGGCUCCCAAGAAUUUGUAGUUUACAGAUUGAAAAACCUUUCAUAAAAUUUAUUUCUUCAGACUCAGGGAACAAACGUUGUUGUUUUUUUUUUUUUUUCCAAUAAUACAAUGGCAAAGUAAUAAAGUACUCUGAAAUAAUUGACUAGCUAAUUCCCUCCCUCCUCUUUUUUUUUAAUAGGCUUUUUUUCUAGAAGGAACUGCUCCUACCUUUUGAUUAGGCUGCUUGAAAUCACUCUGAUUGGAAAAGCUAAUUGAACAUGACUCAGUGGUGAGUCAGACCCAAUAGGAGUCAAUGAUGAGACACACUUGCCAGAAAAGAAAAAAUCAAAUUCUGGGAAGUAUUAAUAGUAGUGUCAUCUGUGAGACAUUGGAGAUAAUUAUUCUGCUCUGUUUGGUUUGGGUGAGGAUGCAGGUGAUGGUAGUCUGCCUGGUUUGGACAUCUUACUUAAUGGAUGAUAACAAAUUGAAGAGAGCUUGGAAGAAACAGUCAAAUGAAAUAAGAGGCUUAAGAAGUAUUAUCUGUUAGGAAAAGUGACUAUAAGAUUAUUAUCUUAGUUUUGUAAGUCACUUUGAUCAUCACUUGUUCAUGGAUGAGAUGAGAAGUAAGCAGCUUACAUCACAGCAGUGGCUGUGCCCACUUGCCCAAAGGGUGAUUAUUUGUCCCAGGGAGGAAUCCCUGGCUCCCCCCUGCAUGGUGCAGGCCUUGAAGCAGAUCCUGGCUCAGCUCCUGUCCCACUGCACGUUGAACCUACUCACUUCCAUACCUCUGUAGCACACCCUUCAGCUCUCUCCUUGCUUAUUAUGGUUCUGGCCCUCAGUGUGGCUUCCUGCCAUAGCCUGGCAGCAAUGGAUCCUCUUCAGGUGUCUGUGUGAAAGGAAAAAUCUGACAUGUCAGUCCCUAGCUUUAUCAUGCAUCUGCUCUGUUGUUCCCUCCCAGGCAUACCUGCAUUCUCAAGCAAAAAUGUACAGGUGUGUUUGAAAGAAUCUGGACAAGACUCAUUCUCAAGAGUGUAACCAAAGAAAAACUCCAAACAGGAUAAACUCCUAUGUAUUCAUGAGAAUCCCACAGACUGGGGGAGACAGCCGUGUCCUAGGACCACCUCUGUGCCUCCCUGGACAGGAAGACAUGCAAAGACAAGUCAUGCAAAGCAGUGAGGCAGAUGAGGAUUUACUAUGUGCAUGGUAGGUGUCCCAGACUUGUAUUUCUUUGCUGUGCCUUGCUUGGAAUAAGUGGACUGAAAUAUUUGGGUGCUCUAGUGAAAAUGGAAAACACCUUCAAAAAGAUUGUCAAAGACCUGUACACCACACCACCAGGACACACCAUGCUCUUACUCAUCGAGAUGCAGCAGUGAUCAAUCACAAUGCAUUUGCAAUGCAUCUCUGCUCAUUACAGGCUUCCUCCAACACAUCCUCCUUGGACUACUUUUGAGGAUGAUGAAAAGUAACCUUGCCUAUGCUGAGCCACAGAAAUACUGCUUCAGUGUGUAUUGGGUUUUUGUGGCAAGGUUUUGGUAGCAGAGGAGUUACAGGGGAGGUUUCUAUGAGAAGCUGCUAGAAGCUUUCCCUCAUGUCUGAUAGAGUCAAUCCCAGCCAAGUGCAAGAUGGACCCAUUGCUGGCCAAGGCUGAACCUAUCAGUGAUGGUGGUAAUGUCUAUGGGAUAACUUAUUUAAGAGCAAGAACCUGCUGUGCAACAGCAGCAGGAAGAGGCGGAGGAAUGUGAGAGGAACAGCUUUGCAGACCUCAAGGUCAGGAGGAGGAGAUGCUGCAGGUGUCACCUGCCACCAUUACCUGCCAGAGGAAGAAGUGCAAGCGCAGCUUCCAUUUUCCCUGCGGCCAUGAAAAUGGAUGUGUCUCCCAGUUCUUUGGGCAGUACAGGUAAGGGCUGACGGUCGUCAUGCUGGGCCUCUUCUGCCUCCUUCCCCCUCCUGCCAGCAAUGGCCAAGCAGGUGAGUGUUGUGCCCCACAGCGAUUCCUCCAAGGGUCCUCCUGGAGCCAGGGACAGCCUUCAGCCUCCACACUCCUUUGGGUAGCCUUGUCCAGAACCAAGGACUCAGCACUCCCUGACCUUGCCCGGCUCUUCUGUCUCCCACCCAGGUCCUUCUGCCAGGAGCACAGGCCAGCGCAAACAGUGCAGGCAUGCCAGGACGGCCAAACGUCCUGCGUCAUUUGCCUGGAGCACGUGGAGGAGCAGCUGUCCUACCAGACUAUGGUGUGCCUCAACUGCAGGCAGGCCUGGUUCCAUCGGGGCUGCAUCCAGCAAGAGGCUUUCCACGCUGGGCUGCUUUGCUUCCGGUGCCCCCAGUGUAAUGACAGGGAGAAAUUCCUGCCAGAAAUGUCUUUCCUGGGGAUCCAAGUCCCCAGCAGACAACCUGCCUGGGAGGCUGGUGCUGGCUUUACAGAUAUGUACCAGAGGCACAGCCGCUGUGACGCCAGCCUGUGCCUCUGUGCUCAAGGCAGGGAGCAGGCAGAAGAAGAGGGGUAAGUCACCAAAACAGCAAUUUCCCUGCUGGAAUUCUUGGCAGCAGAUGCCUUCGCCUCAGCCUCUCCAGAUCCCUCUGUUAGGCUAUGCCAGAAAAGCUCAUCUGCACACAUCCAGAAUGUGUACGUAGUGUCUGCUCCUUACGCCUGUCUGACCAUGCCCUGACCGCCACUCCUGACUAGUGCAGUCACUCCUGUUGCUGGGCUCAGUCAUACACUUGAAGCCCACUUGCGCACAUAGAGAGGAACAGAGAGAGACGGUGGUGGCAUCUGGGGGGACUUCAAAGCAUCCCUUGCCCCAGCUACGCAUGGAAGGCCCAUCCCAGAAGACAUGAGCGCAUCAGAGGCCCAGAUCCUUAAGCCCAGCUCUGCGGAGAGGCCCAAGGCAGGCAGAAACCCAAAGGAACUUCUCAGAAGAAGGAAAAACCUGUCCAGACCCCUCCCAGGGCUGUCCCAGCAGAGCCAUCAUACGCAUUGUUCAGGAAUGAAACCCACUGAGAUGAGUCAACACUCUGUUUGUGGGACAUCUCUUAGUGUAUGUUCCAUGAUUUGUGUGUCCAAGCACACGUACGUGUAUAUAUGGGGUGUACAGGUGUGUGUGCCAGUCCUAGCAGCUGUGACCACCAGCCUGGUUUCUUUCCCAGGCCGUGGUACUUGCUGCUGUGCUCCUCCUGUGCUGCCAAAGGCACCCACCGAUGCUGCUCCGCUUGAAUAACAGCGCAGCCACGUGGGAGUGUGAGGACUGCGCUGGCGUGAGCGCCGCCUCCAGCAGGCAGCCCGAGACAGCUGGACCCAGCACCGCUGGCCAGGCAGCAUCAUCCCGCAGCUCCCCGGCUCCCGAGACAAGCAGCCGGCCAGUGCAGACAGGGCCGGAGUGAAGGGCGGGCCGCUCGCGGAUGAAGAGCAGGGCCAAAAAGCCUUACAGCCGGCCCUGAGGAGCCGGCACUGAGGAGCCAGCGCUUCCACCGCCUGCUGGGCUCCUGCUGGGCAGCUCUGCAGGACGGGCCUCGGGGCAGCUCCCGGGGAUGGCAGAGGCACCCAGGCCCUGCUGGAGAAAGUCCCAUUGGUCCUGCUGUGUGCACCUACCAUGUGCACAGGCCACCCACCCUGUGAGCCCCAGCGAGGGGAAUUUGGUCUUAGCUAAGUUUUGGGGAUUUUCUAGAAGAUUUGAAUGCUGCAAUGAGCAAUUCAGCAUUUAGUCAUAUAAAUAUAACUUGUGAAAUAAAAGGCUUUGUUUGUCUAAACAAUGAGUGUUUUCUAGUGGUGUAUUACACAAAAC
Long non-coding RNA from Columba livia (rock pigeon), 10739 nucleotides. RefSeq lists it as uncharacterized. The record is from RefSeq and is a predicted model, not a curated record. Lineage: Eukaryota; Metazoa; Chordata; Aves; Columbiformes; Columbidae. The transcript has 4 exons.